This 378-nucleotide ribosomal RNA is filed under the name uncultured bacterium. RNAcentral describes it as "partial 16S ribosomal RNA". It matches the Rfam family "Bacterial small subunit ribosomal RNA", at positions 338 to 733 of the family's 1533-position model. The record is from RNAcentral.
CCUACGGGAGGCAGCAGUGGGGAAUAUUGCACAAUGGGCGAAAGCCUGAUGCAGCGACGCCGCGUGUGGGAUGACGGUCCUCUGGAUUGUAAACCACUUUCCCCAGGGACGAAGAUGACUGUACUUGGGGAGGAAGCUUCGGCAAACUACGUGCCAGCAGCCGCGGUAAUACGCAGGGAGCGAGCGUUGUCCGGAAUUACGGGGUGUAAGGGGAGCGUAGGCGGUGAUGCAAGUUGGGGGGAAAAACUACCGGUUCAACUGGGAGUCGCACUCAAAACUGCAGAUCUUGAGUGAGGUAGAGGCAGGCGGAAUUCCUAGUGUAGCGGUGAAAUGCGUAGAUAUUAGGAGGAACACCAGUGGCGAAGGCGGCCUGCUGGG